UACGUAGGGUGCAAGCGUUAAUCGGAAUUACUGGGCGUAAAAGCGUGCGCAGGCGGUGAUGUAAGACAGUUGUGAAAUCCCCCGGGCUCAACCUGGGAACUGCAUCUGUGACUGCAUCGCUGGAGUGCGGCAGAGGGGGAUGGAAUUCCGCGUGUAGCAGUGAAAUGCGUAGAUAUGCGGAGGAACACCGAUGGCGAAGGCAAUCCCCCGUGGGCCUGCACUGACGCUCAUGCACGAAAGCGUGGGGAGCAAACAGG
RNAcentral lists this ribosomal RNA (257 nucleotides) under uncultured bacterium. RNAcentral describes it as "partial 16S ribosomal RNA". It matches the Rfam family "Bacterial small subunit ribosomal RNA", at positions 524 to 776 of the family's 1533-position model. The record is from RNAcentral.